This 464-nucleotide ribosomal RNA is filed under the name uncultured bacterium. RNAcentral's name for it is "partial 16S ribosomal RNA". It matches the Rfam family "Bacterial small subunit ribosomal RNA", at positions 28 to 507 of the family's 1533-position model. The record is from RNAcentral.
GACGAACGCUGGCGGCGUGCUUAACACAUGCAAGUCGAACGGAAAGGCCCAGCUUGCUGGGUGCUCGAGUGGCGAACGGGUGAGUAACACGUGGGUGAUCUGCCUCUAACUUCGGGAUAAGCUUGGGAAACUGGGUCUAAUACCGGAUAGGACAAUCGUUUAGUGUCGGUUGUGGAAAGUUUUUUCGGUUAGGGAUGAGCCCGCGGCCUAUCAGCUUGUUGGUGGGGUAAUGGCCUACCAAGGCGUCGACGGGUAGCCGGCCUGAGAGGGUGGCCGGCCACAUUGGGACUGAGAUACGGCCCAGACUCCUACGGGAGGCAGCAGUGGGGAAUAUUGCACAAUGGGCGCAAGCCUGAUGCAGCGACGCCGCGUGGGGGAUGACGGCCUUCGGGUUGUAAACCUCUUUCGACAGGGACGAAGCUUUGGUGACGGUACCUGUAUAAGAAGCCCCGGCUAACUACGUG